Molecule: small nuclear RNA, 103 nt
Organism: Mustela putorius furo (domestic ferret)
Lineage: Eukaryota; Metazoa; Chordata; Mammalia; Carnivora; Mustelidae
Source: Ensembl
GUCUCUCUUCAGCAGCACAUACACUAAAAUUGGAACAAUACAGAGACCAACAUGGCUUCUAUGCAAGGAAGACAUGCACAUUCAUGAAGCAUCCGCCAUUUUG